This 468-nucleotide ribosomal RNA is filed under the name uncultured bacterium. Its description in RNAcentral is "partial 16S ribosomal RNA". It matches the Rfam family "Bacterial small subunit ribosomal RNA", at positions 28 to 507 of the family's 1533-position model. The record is from RNAcentral.
GACGAACGCUGGCGGCGGGCUUAACACAUGCAAGUCGAACGGAAAGGCCCUGCUUUCGUGGGGUGCUCGAGGGGCGAACGGGUGAGUAACACGUGAGUAACCUGCCCUUGACUUUGGGAUAACUUCAGGAAACUGGGGCUAAUACCGGAUAGGAGCUCCUGCUGCAGGGUGGGGGUUGGAAAGUUUCGGCGGGUGGGGAUGGACUCGCGGCUUAUCAGCUUGUUGGUGGGGUAGUUGCUUACCAAGGCUUUGACGUGUAGCCGGCCGGAGAGGGUGACCGGCCACAUUGGGACUGAGAUACGGCCCAGACUCCUACGGGAGGCAGCAGUGGGGAAUAUUGCACAAUGGGCGGAAGCCUGAUGCAGCAACGCCGCGUGCGGGAUGACGGCCUUCGGGUUGUAAACCGCUUUCGCCUGUGACGAAGCGUGAGUGACGGUAAUGGGUAAAGAAGCACCGGCUAACUACGUG